RNAcentral lists this ribosomal RNA (451 nucleotides) under uncultured bacterium. RNAcentral's name for it is "bacterial SSU rRNA". It matches the Rfam family "Bacterial small subunit ribosomal RNA", at positions 354 to 796 of the family's 1533-position model. The record is from RNAcentral.
GUCGAGAGGCUUCGGCAAUGGGGGAAACCCUGACCGAGCGACGCCGCGUGGGCGAUGAAGGCCGUUAGGUUGUAAAGCCCUGUCGAGCGGGAAAAACUGUAGGCGGGUGAACAAUCCGUCUACUUGAUGGUACCGUUAAAGGAAGCUCCGGCCAACUCCGUGCCAGCAGCCGCGGUAAUACGGGGGGAGCGAACGUUGUUCGGAAUUACUGGGCGUAAAGGGCGUGCAGGCGGUCCUGUAAGAGAGUUGUGAAAUGCCCUGGCUCAACCAGGGACAUGCACCUCUGACUGCAGGACUUGAGUAUGGGAGAGGAUGGGGGAAUUCCCGGUGUAGCGGUGAAAUGCAUUGAUAUCGGGAGGAACACCAGUGGCGAAGGCGCCCAUCUGGCCUAAUACUGACGCUCAGGCGCGAAAGCUAGGGGAGCAAACAGGAUUAGAAACCCGAGUAGUCC